GCCUGACCAGGAAGAGUAAGCUAGCCAUCUAGCAGAGAAGACGCCAACUCUUCCUGUGGGCUCUGAUCUCUUCCCUGGACUAGCAAGGAAGCGUGGCCAUGGGCGACUACUUUCUGAAUCCUCGACACAGACAUACUAAUAAAUAAACAAACACGCACCAGUUGGGUCUGGUUUGUUUUCCAAACGGGGAGCAGCAAGUGACCUGGUUAAUCCAAGGUUUCAGACAGCAGGGGUUGAGAAAUCAGCUUAGUGAGGCCCACAGCACAGGUGGCGUUCUCCCAUUCUGAAGUGACACAGAGGACAAGAGCCCUGCCCAAGGCCACAGACACAGGGGACAGAACCCUCCAUUUCCAAUUCCAGUUCAAAGCCUGGAAAGCUGUCUUCUCCCGGGAGCCAAGGAAAACGAUGACAAUUCUGCCCGGAUGUAAAGACCCUCAAAGACAUCUGAGACCGAAUUCCCCAUCUGGCUCACCUGGAAAGGGGCAAAGAGGCCACUGCUCAGCACCCAAGGGGAUAAGUGCAGAGUUCUAUCCCGCUGGCGUGAACAAGGCUGUACCAAGAUGUCUUGGCUGUGAGCGUGGAGCACACCAAGGGAGGACCAGCGAUACCACAGAAAAGCCAGCAGGUGACGGCAGGCACUAAAAGGAGCUCGAUGAAUAACAAAGAGGGUGCCGGCAGCCAAAGCCUUUUUAAGAUGCUAAUUAAGCAAGAAAAUACACCUGUGUGUACUCCAGUGCCUCUCUUAACUCCUUCUGGCUGGCUUAGAAA
This is a long non-coding RNA of Bos taurus (domestic cattle), 768 nucleotides long. The record is from Ensembl. Lineage: Eukaryota; Metazoa; Chordata; Mammalia; Artiodactyla; Bovidae.